This is a long non-coding RNA of Alligator mississippiensis (American alligator), 1171 nucleotides long. RefSeq lists it as uncharacterized. The record is from RefSeq and is a predicted model, not a curated record. The transcript has 3 exons. NCBI's taxonomy places the organism in Eukaryota, Metazoa, Chordata, Crocodylia, Alligatoridae.
CCCGGGCUCUCCCCGCGCCCGCUGCUGCGGCCUGCGCUGCUCCCUGAGCGCGGCCGCGUCAGGCUGGCCCGGGCAGGUGUGGCCCUUCGGGGUGGCCGGCCCCAUCGGUGGGUCCCUGACCCUCGAGUUGACCACUGGCCCGGGAUCGUUCACCGACCCGCUGAGCGUUGACUCCUGAUCAUCGACUGACCCACGGUCAUCGACCAAACAAUGGUCUUAAUUUUUUACAACAGUAGAUAGGUGUCAUCAUUUACAAUUUUCAGAUGAAGAAAUUAUUACAUCAGGAAUGAUGGUGGUAAUAAUUCUAUAAAGAAAUUAUGCAGUCAUAACAUGGAAAUAUAACAAGUCAAUCAGAAGCAGUCCAAUGUGCAGUAACAAUGCAAGGAAACUUAAAAUUAGGAAUGGUGGCAUCCAAGCAGAGGUCUACUAUUCUUUCAAUUUAUUUAAAUAAAGACAAAUCAAAGCUUGGACCUCUUACAUAAAUGUGAAAUUCUUCAGUCGUCACAAAAAGUGCAACAUUACUCUGUGACACUCCCUUACAGUGUACAGAAAUAUACAUAUCAAAAGCAUAUCAAAAAAUAGUUACAGAGCUUCUCUCUAACUUUCUCUGCUUUCUCUGAUUCUCUGUUCAAGGUUAGUCAAUCUGCAUUUAAUCAAACCAAAGAUUUUUUCUUUUUCCUCCAUUCAGGAAAUGCUACAACCCUAAAAACUAGAUUCAAACAGGCUGAGAAGAUAUAGACUAGUAAAACCACAGUCUUACUAGCCAUUUGGCCAUCUCCAAUGGUGUUACAACUAUUCAUGAAUUUGUAGUCAUGGGUAAGCAGAACCCCAUAAAAAUAAAGACAUUCUUUGAACCUCAUGUUCAAUGUUUUUUAAACAGCAGGCAGGAAAAAAAGAAAUAAUGGAUGUCAAUAGGAUUUAAAUGCUUUUGAAACAUUAUCUUCUGUCUUUCCUCUUUGUUAUUUAACUGAUAAGAAUUUUAUUUUCACAGUCAUUAGCUGCAAAGGCAGCUAGAACCUCUCAGCUGCCUUUUUUCCUUUGUCACUUUAGGAGAGCUAGAAGAAAGUUGAAUCAUUUUUGUUCUUCUUGUUCCCCUUUGCUAAAUGAAUUCAAAACUCACCUUUUAAGUUUUUGGCCAGUGAUUACCUGCAACUCUCUUCUGUUAUAAAAU